GAUGAACGCUGGCGGCGUGCCUAAUACAUGCAAGUCGAGCGAACGGACGAGAAGCUUGCUUCUCUGAUGUUAGCGGCGGACGGGUGGGUAACACGUGGAUAACCUACCUAUAAGACUGGGAUAACUUCGGGAAACCGGAGCUAAUACCGGAUAAUAUUUUGAACCGCAUGGUUCAAAAGUGAAAGACGGUCUUGCUGUCACUUAUAGAUGGAUCCGCGCUGCAUUAGCUAGUUGGUAGGUAACGGCUUACCAAGGCAACGAUGCAUAGCCGACCUGAGAGGGUGAUCGGCCACACUGGAACUGAGACACGGUCCAGACUCCUACGGGAGGCAGCAGUAGGGAAUCUUCCGCAAUGGGCGAAAGCCUGACGGAGCAACGCCGCGUGAGUGAUGAAGGUCUUCGGAUCGUAAAACUCUGUUAUUAGGGAAGAACAUAUGUGUAAGUAACUGUGCACAUCUUGACGGUACCUAAUCAGAAAGCCACGGCUAACUACGUG
Molecule: ribosomal RNA, 496 nt
Filed under: uncultured bacterium
Lineage: Bacteria
Description: partial 16S ribosomal RNA
Rfam family: Bacterial small subunit ribosomal RNA
Source: RNAcentral